RNAcentral lists this ribosomal RNA (325 nucleotides) under uncultured eukaryote. Its description in RNAcentral is "partial 18S ribosomal RNA". It matches the Rfam family "Eukaryotic small subunit ribosomal RNA", at positions 1470 to 1796 of the family's 1831-position model. The record is from RNAcentral.
CCCUUAGAUGUUCUGGGCCGCACGCGCGCUACACUGAUGCAUUCAACGAGCCUAUCCUUGACCGACAGGUCCGGGUAAUCUUUGAAUCUGCAGCGUGACGGGGAUAGAUUAUUGCAAUUAUUAAUCUUCAACGAGGAAUGCCUAGUAGGCGCAAGUCAUCAGCUUGCGUCGAUUACGUCCCUGCCCUUUGUACACACCGCCCGUCGCUCCUACCGAUUGGGUGUGCUGGUGAAAUGUUCGGAUCGGCCGUUUGUCGCGGUUUCCGCGUCAUGUGGCUGAGAAGUUCAUUAAACCCUCCCACCUAGAGGAAGGAGAAGUCGUAACA